RNAcentral lists this ribosomal RNA (678 nucleotides) under Lophopedia pygmaea. RNAcentral describes it as "partial 28S ribosomal RNA". It matches the Rfam family "Eukaryotic large subunit ribosomal RNA", at positions 404 to 804 of the family's 3401-position model. The record is from RNAcentral. Lineage: Eukaryota; Metazoa; Arthropoda; Insecta; Hymenoptera; Apidae.
ACCGUUCAGGGGUAAACCUGAGAAACCCAAAAGAUCGAAUGGGGAGAUUCAUCGUCAACGGUGCCGGCUCCCGUUGGUGCGCGAUGCUCCGAAUGGACCCUUGCGGGCUCCAUCGCGAGGGCACGCCACYUUCGGCUCGAACGUUCCGGUGCGCGUAGUCGUGCACUUCUCCCCUAGUAGAACGUCGCGACCCGUUGUGUGUCGGCCUACGGCCCGAGCGGGUGACUGUCGCGGUCGCGUUUCGCGCGCGCGGCAGACCCUCGGAUGCCCGGCCGGCUGCACGACGGUACUCCCACGGUAUCGGGCCGCAACCAAUCCGAUUUUCGAAUCGUAUGUGCGUCUAGCCCGCCGCAAGCUCGAUCAGUUCUUACCCGGUGGUCGGACCCAGUGCCGUCCCCGGGCCUGAUCAGCUGUUAGCAGGCGGUGUCCUCGGACUGGCCAAGCUUCGAAUUACCGGUCGGCGACGCUACUGCUUUGGGUACUCUCAGGACCCGUCUUGAAACACGGACCAAGGAGUCUAACAUGUGCGCGAGUCAUUGGGAUGCAUAAACCUAAAGGCGAAAUGAAAGUGAAGGUCGUCCUUCGCGUCGACCGAGGGAGGAUGGGCCGCGUUACGAGGCGGCCCCGCACUCCCGGGGCGUCUCGUCUCAUUGCGAGAAGAGGCGCACCCAGAGCGUA